This is a long non-coding RNA of Equus caballus (horse), 2716 nucleotides long. Lineage: Eukaryota; Metazoa; Chordata; Mammalia; Perissodactyla; Equidae. The record is from Ensembl.
UGAGAUGUAAUGAACUUAAUACUUACUCUGCUUCAUCGAAGGCAAGCUUCAGAGAAGCGGCAGCCCAGAGACCUUCUCGUCAGGACGCAGUGCUUCCUUCAGACCACGUGGUCAGAACACCGUUUCUUAAAGUGUGGUCCGUGUACCAUCUACCUCAGAGUCCCUGGGAUGCUUGUUAAAUCUGAAGGUUCCCAGACUCCGAUCCACUGAAUCCCAAUGCGGGUGCAUCAGGAGUCAGCAUUCUGAACUAGCUCCCUGGCGAUUUUUACACACUCGAUGAUUUGAGGACUUUUGCACUGAUUUAGAUGCUCGUGUAUGAGACCCUCAAGUGACCUCUGCGCCCUUUCGCUUUUGUCUCUGAAUCAAGUCUGGGAUUACUUCACAGGGAACAUAAAGGAAAGUCACCAGUCAGGCAUUUGGAAGCAGCGAGGAGCCAACUUCAUUCUAGGUGAAAUUGAAAUCUUCACAGUGUGGAAAAGUGGAAAGAGAACUGAACUGGAAACCGUAACUUUUGUUUGAGUUUGGCUCUGUCACUCACUAUGUAUGGCCAUGGAAAGUAAUUUCUCCUCUCUCGUUGUUUGCUUGUUCAUAAAAUGAUAGCAUUUUCCAAACUUCAGUCAACGGAGUACCACCUUCAAAAUUGCAUCACCUGUGCUGUUAGAAAUAUUUUUCUUUUAAUAAUUACUUGAGUUUAAUUUGAAAAGGAGCUUUAUAUCAUUACUAUAAAUGGAGAACCAAUCAUCACUUACUAUAAUUAGAAAGUCAUACCUGUAAAAUAUAUAACAAUUAAAAAAUUUAGGGGGCUGGCCCCAAGGUGCAGUGGUUAAGUUUGCACACUGUGCUUCAGCAGCCCGGGGUUCACAUGCUUGCAUCCUGGGUGCAGACCUACAUGCUGCUCAUCAAGCCAUGCUGUGGCAGGUCCCACAUACAAAAAAAUAGAGGAAGAUUGGCACAGAUGUUAGCUCAGGACCAAUCUUCCUCAGCAAAAAAUAAUAAAAAAAAAUUUUAAUUUAAAAAGUUUAUCCCUGAGGCUCUAAUUAUCAACUGUUAAUGUAUGAUACUGUUAUCAUAUUUUGGGAAACAGCAAAUUAGAUGCUAUUUAAGACCAUUUUCUUUUUUAUAGAUCUAAGUAUUUAUUGGAGUAUCAUGCAAAUGGUUAUUUCAUUAUUUCUGGGAGGAAAAAAAAGUCCAAAUUCAUGAAGCAAUUUCUGAAAAAUCAACCUUGGGUAUUGUUAGGCAAAAAUUCCAUAACAAAAGCUAUGAAAAAACAAUGACCUUUUUUUCUCAAAAAGAAGAAAGCAUUUAAUGCUACUCAAAUCUUUAAUUAAAUGCUUAUAUCAGAUAUACAGUAUUAAAACAAGAAAUAUUUUCCCUAAUUAUAUCUGCUACUUUCAUCUGUUUCUUUUUUCAAAUCAUUAAAACUAGAACAAAUUAGAAAAAAUGUUACAGUGUUAGCAGAAAUGAAAUUCCAAAUCUAUUUACAGUUUACUUAUUGUGCAUCAUUUUUUCCUACUUUAUUGAGAUAUAAUUGAUGUCUAACAAUGUGUAACUUUAAGGUGUACAGUGUGUUGACUUGAUAUACUUACAUGUUGCAAUAUGACCACCAGCACGCAAUAACUACUGGAGUGCUAGCCAACACCUCCAUCACCUCACAUAGUUACCAUUUCUUUUUGUGGUGAGAACAUUUAAGAUCUAAUCUCUUAGCAACUUUCGAGUACACAGUACAGUAAUCUGUGCUAUAAAAGAUGACAGUUCUGGCAGAAAUGAAAUUCCAAAUCUAUUCACACUAUACUGAUGGUCCCUCAUUUUUCCCAGCCUUAUUGAGAUAUAAUUGACAGAAGUGGGGUUGCUGGAUCAUAUGAUAGCCCUAUUUUUAGUUUUUUGAGGAAACUCUAUAUUAUUUUCCACAAUGUGUGUACCAAUUUACAUUCCCACCAAAGGUGCACAAGGCUGCUCCUUUCUCCACAUCGUCACCAACACUUAUUUCGCGUCUUUUUGAUGACAGCCGUUCUAACAGGUGUGAGGUGAUGUCUCAUUGUGGAUUUGAUUUGCAUUUCCCUGAUGAUUAGUGAUGUUGAGCACCUUUUCACGUAGCUGUUGGCCACUCGUAUGUCUUCUCUGUAAAAUGUCUAUUCAGUUCCUCUGCCAAUAUUUUAAUUGGAUUUUUCUGUUGUUUUUAUUGAGUUGUAUGAGUUCUUUAUAUAUUUUUGAUAUUAGUCCCUUAUCAGAUAUAUGGUUCAGAGCACCUAAAUAUAUUAAGCAGAUACUAACAGGUUUGAAGGGAGAAAUAGACAACAAUAUGAUAUUGGUAGCAGACUUCAGUACCCUGCUUUCAGCAAUGGUUAGAUCAUUCAGACAGAAAUCAGCAAGGAAACCUUGGGCUUGAACCAUGUUUUAGGCCAAAUGGACCUAACAGACAUAUAUAGAACAUGCCAGCCAAUAGCAGCAGAGGGCACAUCCACAUGGGGCCAGAAGUGCUUCUUUCCCCACCCCCUCAGGGGAGACGGGCUGGCUGGAAGGGUCUGCAGUUGGGUAUUUCCCUCCCCCCAGGUAGGUUGGGCUCUGAGACAACGGAGCAGAUUAGGCUCCAGUGAAACAGUUUCUCCUGAGGGCUGGCUUUGUCAGGAACAGAAUAAUCUGGUACAUUUCAAAACAACUCCUUUUCCCCUCCCCCUGCUGGAAGAACAGGGGGUUUUUCUGUGAUAUUCACUCUGAG